GUCAAAUCAUCAUGCCCUUUAUGGCUUGGGCUACACACGUACUACAAUGACCGCCAACAGACGGGACCGAAGGGGCGACCCGGAGGGAAUCCGAUAAAAGCGGACUCAGUUCGGAUUGGAGGCUGCAACUCGCCUCCAUGAAGUCGGAAUUGCUAGUAAUCGCGGAUCAGCAUGCCGCGGUGAAUACGUUCCCGGGCCUU
RNAcentral lists this ribosomal RNA (200 nucleotides) under uncultured prokaryote. RNAcentral's name for it is "partial 16S ribosomal RNA". It matches the Rfam family "Bacterial small subunit ribosomal RNA", at positions 1184 to 1382 of the family's 1533-position model. The record is from RNAcentral.